This 253-nucleotide ribosomal RNA is filed under the name uncultured bacterium. RNAcentral describes it as "partial 16S ribosomal RNA". It matches the Rfam family "Bacterial small subunit ribosomal RNA", at positions 524 to 776 of the family's 1533-position model. The record is from RNAcentral.
UACAGAGGUCUCAAGCGUUGUUCGGAUUCAUUGGGCGUAAAGGGUGCGUAGGCGGCGCGGUAAGUCGGGUGUGAAAUCUUGGAGCUUAACUCCGAAACUGCAUUCGAUACUGCCGUGCUUGAGGACUGGAGAGGAGACUGGAAUUUACGGUGUAGCGGUGAAAUGCGUAGAUAUCGUAAGGAAGACCAGUGGCGAAGGCGGCUCACUGGACCGGAACUGACGCUGAGGCGCGAAAGCGUGGGGAGCAAACGGG